UGACUGAAUUUUUUUGAUAGU
Caenorhabditis elegans is the source of this 21-nucleotide non-coding RNA. The record is from Ensembl. NCBI's taxonomy places the organism in Eukaryota, Metazoa, Nematoda, Chromadorea, Rhabditida, Rhabditidae.